GUGAAUCAUCGAAUUUUUGAACGCAAAUUGCACUCUCUGGUAUUCCGGUGAGUAUGCCUGUUUGAGGGUCAGUUUAAAUAAAAAUCGAGGUGUUGCUGUUUUGUGACCAAUCGGAUUUGGGUUAUCUUUGACCUUUUAAAUAGUUUACGUGACCUAAAAUUGAUACAUUGUGCAUCUCAGACGUACAUACGAAUAUCUUUUUUUCAGUUCGGAGUUGACGACUUUUUAUUAGGUAUGACCAUGCUGU
Molecule: unclassified non-coding RNA, 247 nt
Filed under: Glomeraceae sp.
Lineage: Eukaryota; Fungi; Glomeromycota; Glomeromycetes; Glomerales; Glomeraceae
Description: partial contains 5.8S ribosomal RNA and internal transcribed spacer 2
Rfam family: 5.8S ribosomal RNA (bases 1-71)
Source: RNAcentral